GACGAACGCUGGCGGCGUGCCUAAUACAUGCAAGUCGAACGCACUCUCGAUUAGCUUGAUGGUCUUUGCUCCGGAUUGAACAAGAUUGUAACGAGUGGCUAACCUGCGUGUAACACGUGGAUAACCUGCGGUAACGUUAGGUAAUACCUUUUGAAACUGAUGCUACUACGGCAUAAAACUGAACACCGCAUGUGCUAGGCUUGAAAGAGGGUUUCGGCUAUCAUUUUAGGUUGGUCCCGCGGUGCAUUAGUUAGUUGGUGAGGUAAAGGCUAACCAAGACGGCGAUGAAUAGCCGACCUGAGAGGGUAAUCGGCCACACUGGAACUGAGACACGGCCCAGACUCCUACGGGAGGCAGCAGUAGGGAAUCUUCCACAAUGGGCGAAAGUCUGAUGGAGCAACGCCGCGUGAGUGAAGAAGGUUUUCGGAUCGUAAAACUCUGUUGUUGGAGAAGAAUGUAUCUGGAAGUAACUGUUCAGGUAGUGACGGUAUCCAACCAGAAAGCCACGGCUAACUACGUG
RNAcentral lists this ribosomal RNA (520 nucleotides) under uncultured bacterium. Its description in RNAcentral is "partial 16S ribosomal RNA". It matches the Rfam family "Bacterial small subunit ribosomal RNA", at positions 28 to 507 of the family's 1533-position model. The record is from RNAcentral.